Molecule: ribosomal RNA, 730 nt
Filed under: Lecidea lapicida var. lapicida
Lineage: Eukaryota; Fungi; Ascomycota; Lecanoromycetes; Lecideales; Lecideaceae
Description: eukaryotic LSU rRNA
Rfam family: 5.8S ribosomal RNA (bases 251-404)
Source: RNAcentral
AGAGGAAGUAAAAGUCGUAACAAGGUUUCCGUAGGUGAACCUGCGGAAGGAUCAUUAACGAGAGAGGGGCCUCGCGUCCCGGGGGUUUCGGCCCCGUCUCUUCAUCCCGUGUCUAUCUACCUUUGUUGCUUUGGCGGGCCUCGGGUCCUCUCGACGUCGGUCUGGGGGCGACCCCGGUCCCGCGCGCGCCCGCCGAAGGACCCCUAAACUCUGUUUAUCAGUGUAGUCUGAGUGUCAAUUUAAUAUUUAAAACUUUCAACAACGGAUCUCUUGGUUCUGGCAUCGAUGAAGAACGCAGCGAAAUGCGAUAAGUAAUGUGAAUUGCAGAAUUCAGUGAAUCAUCGAAUCUUUGAACGCACAUUGCGCCCCUUGGUAUUCCGAGGGGCAUGCCUGUUCGAGCGUCAUUGCAACCCUCAAGCAUCGCUUGGUGUUGGGCCCUCGCCCCCCGGGCGUGCCCGAAAGUUAGUGGCGGUCCAGUCGGGACUUCAGGCGUAGUAAUCUAUCAUCCCGCCUAUGAAGAUCCCCUCUGCGGCUCGCCAGCCAACCUUCAGUGUCUUCAAUGGUUGACCUCGGAUCAGGUAGGGAUACCCGCUGAACUUAAGCAUAUCAAUAAGCGGAGGAAAAGAAACCAACAGGGAUUGCCUCAGUAACGGCGAGUGAAGCGGCAACAGCUCAAAUUUGAAAUCUGACCCCUUUGGGGCCCGAGUUGUAAUUUGCAGAGGACGUUUCG